RNAcentral lists this ribosomal RNA (337 nucleotides) under Oplodontha viridula (common green colonel fly). RNAcentral's name for it is "partial 16S ribosomal RNA". Lineage: Eukaryota; Metazoa; Arthropoda; Insecta; Diptera; Stratiomyidae. The record is from RNAcentral.
UCUUUUAAUUGAAGGCUUGUAUGAAUGGUUGGACGAGAUAUUAACUGUCUCAAUUUAAUAAUUAAAAUUUUAUUUUUUAGUCAAAAGCUAAAAUUUAAUUAAAAGACGAGAAGACCCUAUAGAUCUUUAUAUUAUUUUAUAUUGAUUUUAUAAAGAAUAAUUUAAAUUUAAUUUAAAAUAAUAUUUUAUUGGGGUGAUAAUAAAAUUUAACUAACUUUUAUAUAAUAUUACACUGAUUAGUGAUUUAUUGAUCCAUUAAUAAUGAUUAUUAGAUUAAGUUACCUUAGGGAUAACAGCGUAAUUUAUUUAGAGAGUUCAUAUCGAUAAAUAAUAUUGC